This 154-nucleotide ribosomal RNA is filed under the name Cyanoboletus pulverulentus. RNAcentral's name for it is "5.8S ribosomal RNA". It matches the Rfam family "5.8S ribosomal RNA". From Rfam's summary of the family: 5.8S ribosomal RNA (5.8S rRNA) is a component of the large subunit of the eukaryotic ribosome. Lineage: Eukaryota; Fungi; Basidiomycota; Agaricomycetes; Boletales; Boletaceae. The record is from RNAcentral.
GAAAUCAAUACAACUUUCAGCAACGGAUCUCUUGGCUCUCGCAUCGAUGAAGAACGCAGCGAAUUGCGAUAAGUAAUGUGAAUUGCAGAUUUUCAGUGAAUCAUCGAAUCUUUGAACGCACCUUGCGCUCCUCGGUAUUCCGAGGAGCAUGCCU